GUCCACGCCCUAAACUAUGUCAACUAGACGUUGGGUUCUUUAAUGAACUUAGUGUCGAAGCUAACGCGUUAAGUUGACCGCCUGGGGAGUACGGCCGCAAGGUUGAAACUCAAAGGAAUUGACGGGGGCCCGCACAAGCGGUGGAGCAUGUGGUUUAAUUCGAUGCAACGCGAAGAACCUUACCAGCCCUUGACAUCCUGGGAAUCUUGUAGAGAUACGAGAGUGCCUUCGGGAAUCCAGUGACAGGUGCUGCAUGGCUGUCGU
Molecule: ribosomal RNA, 264 nt
Filed under: uncultured bacterium
Lineage: Bacteria
Description: partial 16S ribosomal RNA
Rfam family: Bacterial small subunit ribosomal RNA
Source: RNAcentral